Molecule: long non-coding RNA, 9376 nt
Organism: Aethalodelphis obliquidens (Pacific white-sided dolphin)
Lineage: Eukaryota; Metazoa; Chordata; Mammalia; Artiodactyla; Delphinidae
Exons: 6
Source: RefSeq, a predicted model, not a curated record
GUGGCCGGUGUGCUGAGUUGCUUCCUUCUCAGAGAUCGUUUCUUUUUCAGGAGGUGUUGCUUUUUACCUACACUCCACGACUUGUCGAAGGGUGUUGGUUGUGGCCAUUUGGAAGUGUCGAGACACACCAGAGAAGGGUUAGGACGUCUUUGAGGACGCGUGGUAACAGACGUGAUUUGAGGUGGAAGGGCCGGGGAAAUGCCUACUAAAGCCUGUUGCUAUUACUUAAAUUGCUGCCUUAAGAGACUCCUAACAUGGGCCCAAGGCAUUUGAGCUAAAUGAAUAAACUGGGCUUUGUGCCUUGUCAAGUCAUUUGCACUUCAGUGGGAAGCCUUUCCUUAAAGAGGGGCAUUUUAUGCAGGAAGAAUAAUAAAGGAGGAAUGAGGAGACAGGAAAAUGGGGGGGAGGGGCGGGUAGGGUGGGUGUGUAUUAGAAGCAAACUUCCUGCCUCAUUCUGUGGCUGGGCUUCCUAAUCUUUUGGGGGUCCUUUUGAGACUCAGUGAAAGUUUCCUCAUUAUGAUGCUGCUCCCCAAACAGCUCUGGAAUUCACCCACUUCUGAGGGAUUGGGAGCCAGAAUUCUUCAUCAGUGUCUUAUCCUCAAGAUCUUCCCUCUCCCAACCCCAUCUUGGCUGAUUUAACUUCUAUGGGGAUUUUUUUUUUUAACUGCCACAAGGUAUAUAAUCUUCGAAAGUGAAUUUCCUCCUUGUUUCUUUUGAAAGAUAUUUUUAAACAUGGAGAGAACAAGUGAUGUAUAACAACUCUAUCAGAAGUUCAUUAUGUGGAAAAUAAGAAAAAAGUGUAAAGAAAAAAACACAAAACCUGUAAUCCCAAACCCUAAAGCACGAAGGAGUGCCUGGAGCUGCCUGCAGGCUGUGUGGAAGAUGAAGCUGGCAUCCUGGAGGACAGAGCAGAGACACAGAGUGAGUCAGCAUAUGCAUGCAUGACAUCAAGAACUGUGGAUGUCAUGAAAAUUCCCCUUUGUUACAGGAACGGAGGACAAUGCCAUAUGGAUCCCUUUCUGGGUAGUGCAGAAGGGCUCUACAUAUAUCACUUGGAGUGCUUCUGUAAGGAAGAUUCCUUGACUCAUCUACUUUAACAUGUUUUAUUACUUAAUAGCAACUGGCUACCUGCCCACUCUACCAGACUGACUGCUUACUGGACAUCUGCUGAAUUUCCAUGUCAUCUCUGUAGCAAGAGGCUUCUGUGCCUAUUUGCACAGAUGAAUCUGAGGCAAGAUUGUAACUUUUUAUCAGACUGUUAUGGUUUUUGUCAAUGAUAAGAGUUGGCUGUUGCCACUGCCAAAGAUGCUACUAAUAAACUGCAAGGAUUCUUUUUAGGGUACGUGCCACCCUAAUGAUAGGUAUCAUCGGCUGAAUGGGUUGUGAGGACCUAUCUGGGGUGUGAGGAGCACUACACUGAGCUUGGAGACAGGGCUCUGUGCAGAAUCUGCUUUUGUUAGCAGUGACCAUGGAAGAGGGCUUUGGAAAGCACAAAGCACUAAGCAACGUAGUCUACGUGUGCUUAGAACCAGGCCCAAGGACAAAUGAACAAAGACUUAUUACUGGAACUAUUCUUUACAUGGUCAAUUAUGGUCUCUUAAUUGCCACUCUGAAAGCCUCAUCUUAGUUCUUUUUCUGGCUGACUGCAGUACUUGAUGUCCUCAAUCAUUUCCUCCUUUCCUAGAAUUCUCCUUCUUUGGCUUUUCAGGAACUGUCACAGUUCUCCUCCUCCUCCUACUGAAUCUUUAUGAUCUCUCUUGUUGGCAUUUCUUUUUUUUAUCAGCCCAUUAAUAAUGAUAGGUCUUACCUAUGAUUUCAUAUUGACCCUCUUCUGCACUACAUCCCAUCUCAUGGCUCUGAUUAUCAGUGAUCCAAAUCUUUAAGUUCUCUCUUGGGAUUUUUCUCCACUUGGAUGUCCAAAAGGUACCUCAAAUACAUUAUGUUCAACCCUGAAAUUCUGAGCUCUCAUUUUCAUCAAAACCUUCUAGUAUUAGAAACCUCAGUCAUCUUUAAAUCUUAACCCUUAAUGUUCUUUGUUCAGUCAGUUACCAAGUCCUGCUGAUUCUCCUCUGAGGUGCUUCUUGAAUCCAUUUCAUCUCCCCCACUCUCACUGUCCCUGUCCUAAUUCAGAUGCAUCAUCUCCUUGGACUACCAUAGCUAUAGCCUAAGUGGUCUCCCACUCCAGUCCACUCUCCACAUUGCCACCACAAUCCUCUCUCACAGAUCUGAUUAAGUCACUCUCUUGCUUUAAUAACUACUUAUAGGAGGAAUCAAGUUUCUUUGGGCCUUUUAUUUUCCUUGUUUCUAUCACAUGAAUAUUUUCAUAAAUAUUUCAAAUAAUAUGAAAGUAUAUAUUGUUGGCUGUAUAUAUUUUUCGCACCAAGCAGAAAGGUGGAAGACUGGGAUCACAUUUUACUCAUCCAUCUUGUAUUCCUCACAGGCUUGUUCUCUUAAUACAUAAUUUGGUGAAUGAUUAUAGAACUGAAACUGCUGCUACCCCAUACUAACACUUCUCAGUGUACUACAAGAGGUCCUGGACAAACUAUGGUCUGUGGGCCAAAUCUGGCUUGCUGCUUUUGUAAAUAAUUUACUUUUGUAAAUAAACUGAAAAACAGCCAUGCCCAUUUAUUUAUGUAUUCUACAGCUGCUUUUGUGCUACAACAGCAGAGUCGAGUAGUUGGGACUGUAGGGACAGCAAAGCUGAAAAUAUUUAUAAUUUGGCCCUUUACAGAAAGUUUGCCAACACUUAUACUAGAAGAUUAUUAUGUACCAACUUUAAUUUAAAGUGAAUAACUCAGUCACUAAUAUAAUGUUUUAUAUACUAUAAGUCUGAUGAUGGGAGUUAUUAAAAUAGGAGAUGAGAAAUCCAAAGGAACCACUUGGCUCUAGGAUACUCAAAGUCUGGUCUGUGAAAGAUCUCCUGUACACUGAAUCACUUCAGUAUGGAAGAGGCUUAACAAAACCAACAAUAUCUCAUAAAAUCUACCAGGUGGAGAGAGAACUUUCCCUGGCUCACUCCACUCCAGCCAAACUGACCAACCUUGCCUCAAUUAUGCCAGGGUUUAGUUUGUCCUCACUUAAGGGCUGGCUGUUUUCUUUCCUGGGGGUGCUCUUCCCCCAGAUCUCUACAUGGUGGACUCCUUCAUGUAAUUCAGUUUUGUUUAAAUGUCACCUCUCCCACCUGAAAUCUAUCCUUACUUUCGCCCGCUCUACCUACCUACUUUGUUUUAUUUGUCUCAUAGUCCUUACUAUUGUUUAGUUCUAUUAUUUGUUUGCUUGUUUACUGCCUAUUUCUCAUCCAAAAGAAGGUGAAUGUCACGAGCACAAUGACUCGUGUAUUCACUGCAUUCACUGUAUCCCUCAUGCCUGGCACAUUGUAAAUGAUCACUAAUUACUUGUCGAAUGAAGAAAUAGCUUAAGAGGUCACUAAUUUAUUGUGCUUACUGAAAUACUUUUUCUUCUUCAUAAAAUAUUCCUCCUUUCAUAUUUAGAGGAAGGAAGGGAGGAAACAUUUUCUUGACGACUUCUGGUCGCACAUAGUGGCAUCCUCCUGCUAGAAUAUUUCAGAAUAUCCAUCAGUGAGAUGAGAUGAGCUUUAAAUUCAUCAGGUAGGCCAAGCAUUAAAUCAAGACCUAUCACUUGUUCCUGCAUUUCCCCUCCUCCCUUCCAUGUGUCCUGAAACUCAGUGUUGGCCAAGAGUGUCACUAAGUGUUGGCUUAGUGUCACUGAGCAGGCUUGAUUUGUCGCUUAAUUCACUCCAGUCCUGUAGAGGAAACUGUGGAGCAAGGGGCUGGCCUUUGAGUGGUUGCUUGGUGCCUUCCUCUGGAGCAAAAGUACUUUAGCCUCACAGGUUAAAUGUGAAAGGAAAGGAAAUUCCUUUCACUCUAAAGGAGAUGACACUUGGCCAAAAGGAAGAGCACUUUCGGAUUUCCACAGUCCAACUAAUACAGGUCUUUAUUUCUGUGUAUUUCUGGCUGUUACUACUGUUUUUGAAUGGGGUGUGUUCUUAUUCUUUCUAGAUCAAUGAAAGUAACAAUGUAGCCACAAAAUGAGGACUCAGUUGAUUUUGGAAUCUAUACUCCCUUUUAGUCUCCUCCCAUUUAAGAAAAGAGACUCAAGAUCCUUUCUUGAUGUAGUGAUUGGGACCCUUUACACAAGACAGUUAAAAAACUACCUCCAUGAUCAUGAAGGAGGGAGAUUCUAUACUUCUAUGUGUAGCAUGCUGCAACGGUUAAUGCAUUUUAAAUCCUGAACAUUGUUCCUCAUAUAUAAUCUAAAUGGCCCUUGCAGAAUUUUGGGGGGGCCCCCUCUUAAAAGUUAUUCCUUCAUAUUCUUGAAAAUGGUUCUCAAUUCCAAGUCCUUUUAAUCUUUCCUAAUAGAUGCCAUCUAACUGCUCCUUAUUCAGAUUGGUGUUAUUCCCCAUGUCCCCCACUUCUAGCUUCUCAUUUUCCUAAAAUGCAAUGUCCCAGAAUAUAAAUAUUUUUCAAAUUCAUUACUUCAAAACAUAGAACAAUAUACCUUCAGAGAAAGAUCUCAUGAUGUAAAAUCUUUCACAUCUAAGUUAUCUUUGAAGUACAAUCUCAGAAUCUUAUUAACCUUCUCCCCUUUUUUGUUAGAGUCCCUAGGCUCCUCCUUUCCUUUUAAUCCUUUACCUGUGUAUGCUAAUCAUUUACCUGCUUAGCCUUUUAAUUAAAGAACAACUUCCACCCUAUUAUAUAUGGAAAGGGACUCAAACCUCUGUUCCAGUCCUACAACUUCUAAUAGUGAAUAUCAAAGAAAACUACAAUAAACUGGGCCCAAAUAACUACUCUACUUAAAUAAUAUAGUAAUAUACCACAGUUGGUAUUUAACAAUGUGCUUUAUAUAGGAAAUACCUUUAAAAUAAUCAACAGAAAUUGUGAUUAGCAGUAAGAACAAAAUAUUUUUAUGUUUCAAUUUAUUUCCUUCGUGUACUUUUAAAUAUGAAUAAAAACCUCUAAAGGUGACACUAAAAGGAUGGUUUACCACAAAAAGUCUGUAUGCUGGAGAAUAUGAUUUGACAAAAACGACAUAACUUGCAAAUGUAUAAAUCACAAACAAGAGAGGAAACUUCUCAUGAAAACUCCACUGAUUCAAAUCUCUAUUCUGAAAAGAAAGGCAGCCUUCUAUAACCAGUUCUUUACCAUAUGGUAAAUGGCAUGAUGACAAAAGCAAAAAAAGCCAAGUGUCAAACUGCAUCUUAUUGAUAAGACCUUUAUUUAGCUGACUGCUGCACAUAUGCUACACAUCAAAAGGAGAGAUUGGAAGUCAGGUUAGGACAGGUACCCUCCAUUUGUUAUUACUGAGCUAUCAAACAACAUCUGGUUAACAGGAAUUAUUAUAUACAGAAUUAAGAGGAGUUUCAAAGUAUGACAACUGAAACAAGAUAUUUUUAAUUAAAAGUGGCCUUUUUAUAAAUCUUUUUAUCCAAGGAUUUAGGGCUGUACAAACUCUUGAUUAAGGCUCAGAAGAAAGUUACCUAUGAUUUUGUGAGUCACUGGUUUGUUUCACAUUAACAGAGAAAGCUAUAUAAAGAGUUAAAGUUAUGGUUUACUGAAGAAGUGGAGCUAAACAACUGAUGGGUCUCUAGGUUAUCCAUCUCCUGUAGUGCAUUAAAAGUCAGUAAUGAACUUGGAUAUUUAAAUGGUCUUCCCAUUGUGGUCGGUAUUGCUUUGAUCACUGCAUUCAUUCCCAUUGGGGAAUAUACAGUGCGACUCUUGUAACACUGGAAAUCACGGCAUGGUCUGAUUUAUCCUUUCCUGAAUAAUCUGGGUAAUAUGGGUGAAGAUCACAUCAGGCAUUUGCCUUAAAUGAUAUAGCACAGACAUCCCUUAACCUGUCCGUCAACACUAAGAAGCAGUAACUCUUAGAGUUUCCUAAGGGUUUAUUACUGAUUUCCAAACUUGCACAAUCAAACUGGUAGGCUGCUGUAAAAUGACACUGAACAACACUCCUCAUAUUCAAUAUAAUCUUAAGUGAAGAAAAUGCUGUGAGAAUGUCUAUGUGAAUAAAUGUCACCAGAAAGCAUGCUUCUCUGUGGUUUGGAGUUGGAGGAAAGGAUAGGAAGUGAAAAGCCACACUUUUCUUUUUCUGUACCUAUCAGAUUUGAGAAAUUACUGGGUUCCCACAGAGUUCUGUUGCAGUAGGGAAACCUGUUCUGCUGAUUACCACACAUAAAGGUGAUGAAUAUGCAGACCGCUAAAAGAUAAUGCUGGGCUUAAAAGAAAUUUUUUUAACACUCACUCUCUCAUCCUUCAGAAGUUAGGGCUGGGAAGGAGGAGUAUUUCUGUUAAAAAGUAUUUUCAAUGUUUACAUGCACAGGCACUAUGCUUGUUACUUUACCAGUGAAAACAGAACAGAUAUUACAAGACCUGACACUUCAGGGGCUUAGAAUCAAACAAAACCAAAAGUCUUCCAGGAUAGAUGAGGCAUCUUUAUUACUAUUGGCCUGAGUAACUGAAAAAUCUGAACGAUGAGGUUUAACUGCACAGUCUUCUUUGAUGAGGCUAUACCACUUAAUUUCCUCAAGUGUGAUUUAGUCUCAACAACCCAGCUAGUUUCCUUUUGACAGCUGAAGUAUCAGAGGCUUUGGACAGGGUAAGGGAUUUAUCCAGGAUCACACUGGUUAAGAACAGUGCUAAAAAUGGACACCUUUAUCACUAGGGUAUCUUGCUUAUCUAUGAAGUCUGAUAUUCCUUCAUGCACUGCAGUAACAAUUGUCACUUUACCCAUACUUUGUAUUCUUCAAAAAAAUGCGUUGGGAUUUUCCCUCCUUCUCUACAUGAAUAAGUACUAAAUGAUAACCUCUGUCUGUGAAAAUAUACACUCAAAACUGAAACAAAGGAGAGCUGUGACAAGUAACCCAAAGGGUCAAAAUGUCAUCUAUUUUCAGAAAUUUGAGGGCUCACACAAACCCAAGGCAUUUUUCUAAAACAUCUCUUUCAGAUAUAAAAAAAAUUUUUAGUGUAAACUUUCAAAAGGGAUUUUCAUCUGUAUAUUCAGGGCUCUUAUUUAAUAUAACUCUUUUCCCACCUUGCGCGUUUCUUACUGGGGAGAAGGCAGAAGAAGAUUCAACUCUGUCAGUGAUUCUCUAAAAAUAUUUGUCUAAUCUGUGGCCCCUGGUCUCCUCCCUGAAGUAACACGAUAGCCCCGGGGGCCCAGGGAAAGAACCAAAAAAGUCAACCUGUGGAAGAGCUUUUCCUUUUCCAUAAAAUAACAUGAACUGGGCCACGUGCAGAGAUAACUCCUUCAUGGCAUUUUCCUAAGCUGCUCUUGAUGUGGUUUUUCAGUAAAGAGUAAACAGUUUGACAAGGAAACAAAUGCCAGGAGGUCAGAGAUCAGUUUAAAAUUCAGAUACUUUAAAAUGGGUGCUGGGUGGCUUUCUAAAUUAGAGCAAAUUGUUUCCUUUGAAGAAGACCAGUUCUUUUUCCCAGUUACUCCUUUUGUGGCAGGAUCUCAACCACUGAGUCAAACAUAAGAAGCUACACUGAUUUCCAAGUUCGUAAAAAGAAAUUUUUCUUUAUGAAACUAACUUGUUGAUCUUCAACCUUUCUGUGAAGUUACAGCAAGUGUUAACUCCAAGGUGAGACACCAGUGACUUUCUUAAGGUCACGUAGUCAGUAAGAGAUGAGCAAAUAACCCCAGAAGUACUCCCACGGGUCUACGCUUCUAACCACUAUACCACACAAGCUCACAUGUCUGAUUCAUUUUAAGAACUGAGUAGACCUUAUGAUUUCAAAGGCCCACUUUUAUAUGCUCUUCAAAUAAUUUUUGAAAUCUGUCAUUACAAAAUAAAAGAUGCUAAUGAAAACGGACAAUUCUAUUGUUUCUAAUUAAUUCAUCCUUUCUGUGACAGCCAAGAAGCAUCUUCCAACAUCAUCAACUAAUGAAGACUUUAGAAGAAGGCUAAGACAUGCCUCUCAGCAAGCAAAUCCUGGCAGACAUAGUUAAAUUAACUGAUUUAGCAUAUCUUUAUCUAGCACACUAAUAAUUGCACUAGAAUUAAGGAUAGUGGUUGUCAAUUCUGUCUGUACAAAUUACAGUUGGGGAACUUAAAAAUACAUAUGUCCAGCCUCCACCCUAGAACAGUCAAUCAAAAUCUUUGGAUCAGGUAUUUGUAAUUUUUAUUUUAUUUAUUUAUUUUUGGCCACACGGCGAGGCUUGCAGGUUGUUAGUUCCCCAACCAGGGACUGAACCCACGCCCUCAGCAGUGAAAGAGUGGGGUCCUGACCACUGGACUGCCAGGGAAUUCCCAAGUAUUAGUAAUUUUUAAAAGCUCCCUAUGUGAUUCUAAUGGACAACCAGUGUUUAGAACCACUGUUAAAUUUUUGAAUUGAGAUAAUCUGUGCAGUUCUGAUCAUUUGUUAUACUUGUUAACUAUACUGCUGGACAAAAUUGAAUAGCAAAGGAAAUGAGAUCUCUAUAUAAAUACCUAUGUAACAAAGCAGAAGGUAAUACAGUCCAAAAGAAAGGUCUCACCUAUAGAAAUUUGUACAAGGAAGAUGUUAUUUGUACCUCGGGGGGAGCUUAAGAAAGACUUCUAAGGAGGUAGUGACAUUUGAAGUGGGUCUUGAAUGCUAGGACCGAGGAACAUGAAAAGUAAAGGCAUUUUAAGCAGAGUCCACAAACAUACAAGCUAACAGAGAUGCCUGUAGGGGAAAAGAGUCAGUAGAUACAAUGUAAGGACACAAAAGAGAAAUUAGUUGGGUAGGCAGGUUGGGGCCACUUUAGGAAGGCCUUGAAUUUCAAGCAAAAUUACAUGAUAGGAGAUGGGGUAUUAGAAGGUUUCUGAACAAAGGCCUGCCCUGAUCAGAACUGAGCUUUAGUGAGAUUACUCUGGUAGCUGGAGGAAGGAUGGACUAGUUGAGGAAAGAGACACAUGGCAAGAGACGUGUUUAAGAAGGCUAUAAUUGCAGCAGUCUAGGCAAGUAAUGAAAGCCUGAUGUGGGUUGGUAGCAGUGGGAAAGGAGAAGAAGGAAGGCUUUAGCAAUUGAUUAAAUAUGGGAGAUAAAGGCAAAGGAAGCACCAAAGCCAAGUCAAACUUCAAUUCUGGGUAAUUAGGAAGAUGGAAAUGCCACCAAAGGAAAAGAAAGGGAAGAUCAGCUCAGUCUCAGAUUUCUGAGUGUGAAUUGCUUGAGGGAUAUCAAAUGGAGAUGCUCCCCCACCCCCAUAAAAUUUUGGUUUGCAACCUAGGAGAGAUGUCAGAGCUGAAGACACAACUUUGCAGGGAGGGACAAAAGAAACAUUUCAUUAGGACAACCAAUUUUCUUCCUAAGAUAACUCCAUUACCCUUUACCAAUCAUAUCUGUCCUGAUUUCUUAAACUAAUCUUUCACCAGCACUCUUCUGAAUCUCUUGCA